This 279-nucleotide ribosomal RNA is filed under the name uncultured bacterium. Its description in RNAcentral is "partial 16S ribosomal RNA". It matches the Rfam family "Bacterial small subunit ribosomal RNA", at positions 506 to 784 of the family's 1533-position model. The record is from RNAcentral.
UGCCAGCAGCCGCGGUAAUACAGAGGGUGCAAGCGUUAAUCGGAAUGACUGGGCGUAAAGGGCGUGUAGGUGGAUACAUUAGUCAAAGGUGAAAUCCCCGGGCUUAACCUGGGAACUGCCUCUGAAACUGUGUAUCUAGAGUAUAGGAGAGGGAAGUGGAAUUUCCGGUGUAGCGGUGAAAUGCGUAGAUAUCGGAAGGAACACCAGUGGCGAAGGCGGCUUCCUGGCCUAAUACUGACACUGAGGCGCGAAAGCGUGGGUAGCAAACAGGAUUAGAUA